CUCCUGGCUCCUCCACCCAGAUUAACAAAGGACAGCCAAAGGCAUACCCAUGGUUUCACAAAAUGUGCAUGGAAACCAUACACUGGAGCUGGGUCACCAGUUUAUCAACCAGGCUCUGACUGCAGGCAGUACAGCUCCACAAUGACACUGGGCAAGACCAGGAUCAAUGACCAGUGAAAGUAAAUGGCAGACAACAGUUGUCUCUGCAGGAUGCAUUCACGGAGAGCUGGGAAUUUCCAUACCCUCCUGGCUGCCCUGCCUGAGAUGAUAAGUGCUUGAAUAUUUCACGGCAAAAAAGUCCUGGGAAAAGCAGAACUAUUUUUUUGUGAUAAAGGCUGGCUGCACAUUUUGGGAAGAUGAGUUUGUCAGGGAUGUUGCUGCACUCAGGCUGAACCUGUGGGAAGUGUGCCUGUUCCUAAUAAAUGUUGUGUGUAUUUAUGUGGCAGUCAUUGUGCUUUGCAAGGAGGGAGUCACAGAAAUAAUUAGUUAAGAGCGUGAGGUUUUUGGCACAGAUUCCCUUUCUCAAGUAGCUGUGAUGUUCAUAUAUAAGAAAAAUUGAUUUGGCAUCUAGACAGGAUUUCAGCACGCUCAUGGUUAUGGAAAUCAGCUAUGGGCAUGGAAGAAAUCUGUAUAUUGAUUCAUAAACUGACUUGAUGACUUGUUCAUGUUUUAAUGUUUUCAUGGACUUUUACCCAAGAUAAAAUUGUCAGUAAGUACCACUUGACUGUGCUACAGCACCAUCUAAAAUGGUGGGAAGAAUGCAGGAAAUAAAAGCAAUUUCCUAUUAGGCAGAAGACUUUAUUUUCUGUGCUAAUUAAUUUUUUCCUUAAAGAUGAGCAUUCUUUGUCAUUGCCCUUGCUAUUGAGUUAGAGUAUGCAUGUAAAUGACACCCAGUAAAAAAUGGUUUCCAGUGAUGGGCCCCCAGUUUCAUGGACAAUUUAUUUUGCGAGAGCUCAGGAAAGCCAGUCCUCCUCCUGCUCACACCAGGCUGCGUCCAUGCUGCUAGAGCUUCCACAGCUGUGUGUAGGUAAUAGAAUGAGAAUCACUUCACUUUGGUAUUGUGCAGUAGGACAAAAGCCAGUAUGGCUUGCUGAGUCUGUUUUUCUCUCCCUAGCUGGCGAGGGGUGUGUUUAGUCAGCAUCAGCACCAACCCAAGACUGCCUUGCAGAAAACACCUACUAAGAGACUGACUCCUCAGGAACAUGUUUCUCUGCAGGUUUAAAUCUUAAUCCCUGAAUUAUACCUCUGCCUGCCUCAUGGUUUCCUUUGGAGACCUUCCAGCAUUGACCAAUCCUGACCCCAUUUGACUUAAGCUAUGUGGGCUCGAAAUGGAGGCAGGAUGGCUGCUGGCCAUGAUUGAGAGGAAUGGAAAAUGGAAGCUGUGUCAUGUGCAACAUCAUCCAAGAUCCAGUGUGAUAACAAUGUGUGACCAAAUUCUGAUCUCACUUGUAGCAGUGAGCUUCCAUUCUGACUUCAGAAGGAAUCAAUGGGUGUAAUGUGAGUCACAACACACACACUGUGCCACAGCAGAGCAGAAUUUUUUCAAUAAAUACUGUCUCUUUUGUCAAGACAGAAAAAAACCUCUGGAGACCUAUACUAUAUCAAACUGCAAAAUUCAGGAAAGAGGCCCCACAGUAACAACAUUUUUGAAGGUGAAGGUUAUUCCUUGCAGACUAAAUCUUUCCUUACGACAGUUGGCUGCUCAUUUUCAGAAAAUUUCUGCAAGUUAGUGAUUAGUAUGAUUAGUGAUUAGUAUGUAAGAUUAAAAGAUCUCUGGGGCCUUGUUUGACACUACUGUGUUUGGACAUCACCUUACAUACUAAAAGCACCCAUGGAGAAAUCAGGGAGAUGUCUCAUGGUGUCUCAAGGUGGGCUGCUAGAGGCAGAGAUAUUUUCAUACCCUCAGGAAGAGAAAAAAGGCCAUUUUGUCAUUUGGUAGUUGGCUUCUUGCUGAUUAUUAAACAGUCUGCCAAAUCUGUGGUUAACGAGUGAUUUAAAUGUACUUUGAAGGCAGCUUUUGUUUCCUUCAGUUGCUAUUCUAAGAAAGAGCCCUUAAAAUUAAUUGACUGACAAACUGUAUAAUUGAUGCUGCCUUCGUAGCCUGCACUGGCCAAAACUGAUGGGAGCCCUGGCAUCUUGGUCAAGGCUGCUCUAAACCCUUCUGAGAACCUCUGCUUGCCCUCUCUUUAUGCUCUUGGGUAGGAGAGGGCAUGUUUAGUUUUCUGCUUACCCUUUUGUACUUGUUCAUUUGCUAGGUGCAUAAAGGAGAGGAGGUCAUUUGUGCACUUGGGAUAAAGAGGUAUUAUGAAUUCUAAAGUGUUUGCUUUAUUGGGAAAAGCACAGUGAGAAGGAGAGCUCAGGAACCUAAUGUGUGAAUUUUUAAUGAAUGCCGUGCCAUGUGUUUGUGCAGGUUUUUUGUUUUGUUUUUUUUUUUUUUUUUCUACCUGUAGCAGCUUUAUUCAUUUGGGAGAGUACUGUGUACAAGAUAUUCUUUAGUAGUGUGCUGGCUGCUGUUUAGUUUUAAUAAAUUAAAUCCUUUAUAUCAAUGUAAUAUUCUUUAGACAAGCACUUCCAAGACAGAUUAGAAAUGAACUUAAGGGGAUUAAAAGCUUCUCUUGCUAAAAACAAUGUUUCAGAUGGGAAAUCCACUUAUUUAUGUCACUUUCAGUGGACUACAUUUGGCUUUAAUAUGUUGCUACUGCUAAAGAAAGCAGUGCUUUGCCCAUGACUGCAGCCUUUCUGCUCUGCUUUACAUACACAGCAAUGUUUAUUUUCUUCCAUACAGUAAGUCACUUUGGGAAAGAUUGAUGGCUUCCCAUAAAAUUGCGAGAAACCAUUUUCUUCUUAUUUAGAGAAAACAAAAGAUUUAAUGAAUCUGGCAUUUUAAAUAGCAUCAGUCUCUUUGUAAAAUAGGAAAUUAUGGGAAUGGAAGGUAUGAGCAGAGAGAAAAAUCUGCUCUGAUUUUCCCUUGCUGUAUUAUAGCAGGCUGAAAACAUGAAUUGGAAGGUUGUCACUAUCUGAGAAAUCCUGGACACGUUGGGAGCAGCCUGGUUUAGCUGGUGUUAGCUCUGGUCUCUGCAGCAAACUGAGGGUGAGGUGCCAGAUUGCAGGCUCUUUCCUCUAGCUCAUAUCAGGUUCUCUAUUUUUAUAUCAAAACUUGCCCUAAUACAUGGUUCAGUGUUGUGCCAACCCCAAUGAUGGGUCUAUGGUACCAACCUGAAAUAUCUUGAUUUGAAAUAUAAAAUAUAUAAGAAUACAAUAUGUAACACAUAAUAAUGUACAAUAUAAUAACAUAUCUGUGUGUGUGUAUGAAUCAGUAUCUGCUGGGUUUGAUGUGCCACCACUCUGCAGGUGCUGCUGUAGAAGGAGAUGCUGCCUGUCCAUGCCCCAACACCUGACUCCUGCUCCACUGAAGACGUUUAGCCAGCAGAAGCUGUGUGCUUUGGUGAGCCCAGCAAAGCUGCAGCAGAGCCUCUCUCCAGAGCCUUGUCCUGCUGGAUAUCUGGCCAUGCUCAGAUGGCUGUGAACAUUAGCAGGAAGCCCUGCAGUCCUAGGCUCUGGUAGGAGCUUUGCAGUAAUCACCAGCCAAGGCACACAAUACUGACCUGGAAAAAGCUGGCUGCUGCCCAAUGCUCUCACACUGGAGUUUAAGCAGGGCGGGAACCAUCUCUGUGGAAUACAUGAGGAGGCUCUCCUGUGGGAUGAACCAGGACAAAAGAACAGUUUCCCUUUUCUUUAUGAAGAAUGAACUCUGCUCUGUGCAUGCAAUGGGAGUUGGAAUGAACGAUCCGUGGGAGAUACUUCCCACUCCCCCUGCCCCAGGAUGGGAUUUGGAGCACACAACACCCUUAUUGCUUCCCUCUCCUGGUCUGAGGGUUCUCUGGAAUGAUCUCAAGCCAUUGUACAGCUACAGCUCUGAGUGGCCACAUAGGGCUGCAUUUGAACCCCUGACCCAGGAACAAAAUAAAUUACGUGUGGACUGAGGUAUGGAUAUGGUGAGUGACAGAAGAAUAGCACUCAAAAUGGUGUUCAAGAGAUUCUGUAUUCAUUUAAGUAGUGUAACUGUUUAGCCAAUUUAUUCAUUUGACAAGUUCCUUUCUAACCAUCCUAAUUCACCAUUUAGCCUAAGAUGGCCUUCAUUAGUUUAUUAGAUAUUCAUCGGAAGAGAUUUUAGCAUAAAUACAGUUCCAGAGAGGAUUACCACCCAGGGAAUCUAUUCUUUUAACCUACUUAUUCUGCUAUCAAGUAUUUGUUGAAAAGGACUCGUAUUUACUUAGUCUCUUAAUGAAGUCUAGAAAAGCUUUUCUGCAAAGGGAAUAUUGUUUUGUCAAAAUUAGCUUACUUAAAUAGCUUUCAAAGCAGUCUGAGAACAAAGAUUUCAAAGCCACAGCUCCAGCCUAAUAUUUACUUUUUACACUGUACAGUAGUUUAGACUUGCCAGAAAAAGUGCACUUGUGCUUUUUUGUUUUGUUUUGUUUAAAUUUCUCUGCUUCUAGUUGUGAGAUAUAUAUGUCAUUUCUAGGGGUAUGGAACUAAUUGAGGAAUAUGUCCUGCCCUUGUUGAGGUGAACAGGGCAGAUAAAUAAAAACUCCAUUGGACAUAAAUCUCCUCCACCAACAUCAAAGAAACAGGAUCCUGCUAAGUGUAUUUGUAUAAUGCAGUAAUUUAUGCAAAAAGCAGCUUUUGUCAGCAAUGCAACAAAGCAGCUUUGAUAAAUGUCCCCUAAUUUAUUGUCAUGUAUCUCAAAUCAAAGUAAAACAUUUACAGCCUGCAUACUGAAGGAACCCAGGCCCAGGGUACUUAAAGGGUUUCUCUCCCUUUCCAUCUCCCCCCCCUUUUUAAAAAAAAAAAAAAGUACAAAAAGUCAAGUUGGGCAAAAGGUUAAAAAGGAUCUGUUUUGAAUGCUAAGUACUUUAUACAAAUUAUGGGCAAAAAUAAUAAUGAAUCCACUUAAAGAAUGACAGAAAAGCCUGUACAAAUUCAGAUUAAAAAAUCCUCUUAGCUUUUCUCUUAUGGGUGGUGUCUGACAAAUCAUAAUGGGGAUGCUGUAAUUGUGCUUUACAAGGACAAUUCCAGUUUCUCACGUUUCAAAGGAAUAAAAUGGUGCCUGCAGACACUGGCUGCUCUUCUCUCUCCGUCUCGCCUAUGGAUUCUCCUGAGCAGCCAUCUUUCAGAUGCAUGGCAUAUUUUGGAAAUCAGCUCAAGUGAAAUUUUGGGGAGAACCUUUAUUAUUGACUUCAGAUAGGAAAAUCACACCCUGGUAGAGGACGAGGCCAACAGUGCUAGCAGGUCUGUUCCCACCAAAGGUCUGAUGGUACUUGCAUGGUGCAGAAACAUUUUGAAUUUUCUCUCUACUUCUUGAGAGAAUUAUUAGAUUGGCUAGUUUGAUAAAUUCAGGCAGACUGCUUGGUCUUUCAAUGCACAACAGUUGUACGAAGGACUAUUUAUAUACAUACAUAUAUAUAUAUGUAUGUAAAUGUCUAUGUCUAUGUCUAUGUCUAUGUCUA
Long non-coding RNA from Motacilla alba alba, 5507 nucleotides. RefSeq lists it as uncharacterized. The record is from RefSeq and is a predicted model, not a curated record. Lineage: Eukaryota; Metazoa; Chordata; Aves; Passeriformes; Motacillidae. The transcript is spliced from 4 exons.